RNAcentral lists this ribosomal RNA (269 nucleotides) under uncultured prokaryote. Its description in RNAcentral is "partial 16S ribosomal RNA". It matches the Rfam family "Bacterial small subunit ribosomal RNA", at positions 524 to 792 of the family's 1533-position model. The record is from RNAcentral.
UACGUAUGGUGCAAACGUUGUUCGGAAUCACUGGGCUUAAAGAGCACGUAGGCGGUUGAGAAAGUCUGAUGUGAAAUCCCUCGGCCCAACCGAGGAACUGCAUCAGAAACUUCUUAGCUAGAGUGUAGGAGGGGAGAGUGGAAUUCCUGGUGGAGCGGUGAAAUGCGUAGAUAUCAGGAGGAACGCCGGCGGCGAAAGCGACUCUCUGGCCUACUACUGACGCUGAGGUGCGAAAGCUAGGGGAGCGAACGGGAUUAGAUACCCCCGUA